This 496-nucleotide ribosomal RNA is filed under the name uncultured bacterium. RNAcentral's name for it is "partial 16S ribosomal RNA". It matches the Rfam family "Bacterial small subunit ribosomal RNA", at positions 29 to 507 of the family's 1533-position model. The record is from RNAcentral.
AUGCACGCUGGCGGCGUGCCUAAUACAUGCCAGUCGCGCGAACAGACGAGGAGCUUGCUCCUCUGACGUUAGCGGCGGACGGGUGAGUAACACGUGGAUAACCUACCUAUAAGACUGGGAUAACUUCGGGAAACCGGAGCUAAUACCGGAUAAUAUAUUGAACCGCAUGGUUCAAUAGUGAAAGACGGUUUUGCUGUCACUUAUAGAUGGAUCCGCGCCGCAUUAGCUAGUUGGUAAGGUAACGGCUUACCAAGGCAACGAUGCGUAGCCGACCUGAGAGGGUGAUCAGCCACACUGGAACUGAGACACGGUCCAGACUCCUACGGGAGGCAGCAGUAGGGAAUCUUCCGCAAUGGGCGAAAGCCUGACGGAGCAACGCCGCGUGAGUGAUGAAGGUCUUCGGAUCGUAAAACUCUGUUAUUAGGGAAGAACAAAUGUGUAAGUAACUAUGCACGUCUUGACGGUACCUAAUCAGAAAGCCACGGCUAACUACGUG